CUGGGCGUAAAGCGAGCGUAUGUGGCUUGAUAAGUCAGAUGUGAAAGCCCCGGGCUUAACCUGGGAACGGCAUCUGAUACUGUUAGGCUAGAGUAGGUGAGAGGAAGGUAGAAUUCCAGGUGUAGCGGUGAAAUGCGUAGAGAUCUGGAGGAAUACCGAUGGCGAAGGCAGCCUUCUGGCAUCAUACUGACACUGAGGUUCGAAAGCGUGGGUAGCAAACAGGAUUAGAUACCCUGGUAGUCCACGCCGUAAACGAUGUCUACUAGUCGUUGGGUCCCUUGAGGACUUAGUGACGCAGCUAACGCAAUAAGUAGACCGCCUGGGGAGUACGGCCGCAGGGUUAAAACUCAAAUGAAUUGACGGGGGCCCGCACAAGCGGUGGAGCAUGUGGUUUAAUUUGAUGCAACGCGAAGAACCUUACCUGGUCUUGACAUAUCUAGAAUCCUGCAGAGAUGCGGGAGUGCCUUCGGGAAUUAGAAUACAGGUGCUGCAUGGCUGUC
This 500-nucleotide ribosomal RNA is filed under the name uncultured bacterium. RNAcentral's name for it is "bacterial SSU rRNA". It matches the Rfam family "Bacterial small subunit ribosomal RNA", at positions 554 to 1053 of the family's 1533-position model. The record is from RNAcentral.